CAGAAGACAAGUCCAAAGAGCCUGACGAAGGAAUCCACGACUUUUCCAUUGAAAUUAUAAGAAUGAUCUUUCAAGUGGAAAUUGUACCGGGAACUAAGGUUCUGGCCAAAAGUUUUGAGAUGGACUCACAGGAAAAGCUUACGGAGAUGUUCUGGCAGGGCGGAAACCCACACGGAGCGGACUCUUCUUCCAGGUGCAGAUGUACAGGACCUUGGAGGGAGUGUCCGAAGACCUGAGUUUGACCUGCAUUCUGCUUUUACUCACAAUAUAGCCUUGACCAAAUCAUA
This is a long non-coding RNA of Suricata suricatta (meerkat), 287 nucleotides long. RefSeq lists it as uncharacterized. The record is from RefSeq and is a predicted model, not a curated record. Lineage: Eukaryota; Metazoa; Chordata; Mammalia; Carnivora; Herpestidae. The transcript has 2 exons.